RNAcentral lists this long non-coding RNA (349 nucleotides) under Setaria viridis. Its description in RNAcentral is "long non-coding RNA (SVIR_LNC002154)". The record is from RNAcentral. Lineage: Eukaryota; Viridiplantae; Streptophyta; Magnoliopsida; Poales; Poaceae.
GGCUAGCUAGGCCUAGGACAAGAGACGAGAUUGAAUCCAAAAAUAGAAAUUAGAGGACCGGAUUGGUCUAACUGAAAGUUGAGAGAUGAAGGGAUGAAAUCGACUAUUUUGCCAACCAGAAACUAUAAAUCAUUGUGAAACUCUUUUACAACCCGGUGAAGUGUGAUGAGUGAAUGUACCUGCACUGCACAUAUAAUUAAACACAACGAAUCUUGGUUCAGAAAAGAAAAAACAGAAACCGAAUCUGCAAAAACCCCAUCAUUUAAAUCUUGUUCAGUUUGAAGGGGAUUAGAGAGGAUCGGAGGGGAUUGAGAGAGAUUAAAUCCCCAACAAAUCAAAACCCCUUCAA